Molecule: ribosomal RNA, 467 nt
Filed under: Mammaliicoccus fleurettii
Lineage: Bacteria; Bacillati; Bacillota; Bacilli; Caryophanales; Staphylococcaceae
Description: bacterial SSU rRNA
Rfam family: Bacterial small subunit ribosomal RNA
Source: RNAcentral
GCUCAGGAUGAACGCUGGCGGCGUGCCUAAUACAUGCAAGUCGAGCGAACAGAUGAGAAGCUUGCUUCUCUGAUGUUAGCGGCGGACGGGUGAGUAACACGUGGGUAACCUACCUAUAAGACUGGGAUAACUCCGGGAAACCGGGGCUAAUACCUGAUAAUAUUUUGAACCGCAUGGUUCGAUAGUGAAAGGCGGCUUCGGCUGUCACUUAUAGAUGGACCCGCGCCGUAUUAGCUAGUUGGUAAGGUAAUGGCUUACCAAGGCGACGAUACGUAGCCGACCUGAGAGGGUGAUCGGCCACACUGGAACUGAGACACGGUCCAGACUCCUACGGGAGGCAGCAGUAGGGAAUCUUCCGCAAUGGGCGAAAGCCUGACGGAGCAACGCCGCGUGAGUGAUGAAGGUUUUCGGAUCGUAAAACUCUGUUGUUAGGGAAAGAACAAAUUUGUUAGUAAACUGAACAAGUC